UUCUGACCGUAAACGAUGCCAACUAGCGAUCCGUCGGUGGCUUACAGGCCCUGAUGGGGAGCUUCCCGGAAACGAAAGUCUUCCGGUUCCGGGGGAAGUAUGGUUGCAAAGCUGAAACUUAAAGGAAUUGACGGAAGGGCACCACCAGGAGUGGAGCCUGCGGCUUAAUUUGACUCAACACGGGAAAACUCACCCGGCCCGGACACCGUGAGGAUUGACAGAUUGAUAGCUCUUUCAUGAUUCGGUGGUUGGUGGUGCAUGGCCGUUCUUAGUUCGUGGAUCGAUUUGUCUGGUUUAUUCCGAUAACGAGCGAGACUCCAGCCUGCUAACUAGUGCGGGCAUUUCACUGAUGUGCCCCGUACUUCUUAGAGGGAUUGGCUGCGUUCAGCAGCACGAAACGGAGCAAUAACAGGUCUGUGAUGCCCUUAGAUGUCCGGGGCUGCACGCGCGCUACACUGGCAAAGGCAGCGUGCUUGUCCUACUCCGAAAGGAGUUGGUAAACCCUUGAAAAUUUGCCGUGAUUGGGAUCGGAAAUUGCAAUUAUUUUCCGUGAACGAGGAAUUCCAAGUAAGUGCGAGUCAUCAGCUCGCGUUG
Molecule: ribosomal RNA, 594 nt
Filed under: Tylenchocriconema alleni
Lineage: Eukaryota; Metazoa; Nematoda; Chromadorea; Rhabditida; Tylenchulidae
Description: SSU rRNA
Rfam family: Eukaryotic small subunit ribosomal RNA
Source: RNAcentral